Molecule: ribosomal RNA, 460 nt
Filed under: uncultured bacterium
Lineage: Bacteria
Description: partial 16S ribosomal RNA
Rfam family: Bacterial small subunit ribosomal RNA
Source: RNAcentral
CCUACGGGUGGCAGCAGUGAGGAAUAUUGGUCAAUGGGCGGAAGCCUGAACCAGCCAAGUAGCGUGCAGGAUGACGGCCCUACGGGUUGUAAACUGCUUUUAUACGGGAAUAACGCGCCUUACGUGUAGGGCUUUGCAUGUACAGUAUGAAUAAGGACCGGCUAAUUCCGUGCCAGCAGCCGCGGGAAUCCGGAAGGUCCGGGCGUUAUCCGGAUUGAUUGGGUUUAAAGGGAGCGUAGGCCGCAUGUCAAGCGUGCUGUGAAAUGUCCGGGCUCAACCCGGGCCUUGCAGCGCGAACUGGCGUGCUAGAGUCCGCGGAAGGCAGGCGGAAUUCGUGGUGUAGCGGUGAAAUGCUUAGAGAUGGCGAAGAACCCCGAUUGCGAAGGCAGCUUGCUGCAGCGGAACUGACGCUGAUGCUCGAAAGCGCGGGUAUCGAACAGGAUUAGAUACCCCGGUAGUC